GAGGGUAUAGCUCAGUGGUAGAGCACAUGCUUAGCAUGCACGAGGUCCUGGGUUCAAUCCCCUGUACCUCCG
This 72-nucleotide transfer RNA is filed under the name Camelus bactrianus (Bactrian camel). It matches the Rfam family "tRNA". From Rfam's summary of the family: Transfer RNA (tRNA) molecules are approximately 80 nucleotides in length. Their secondary structure includes four short double-helical elements and three loops (D, anti-codon, and T loops). Lineage: Eukaryota; Metazoa; Chordata; Mammalia; Artiodactyla; Camelidae. RNAcentral also lists the same sequence under 2 other names. The record is from Rfam by way of RNAcentral.